Non-coding RNA from Oryctolagus cuniculus (rabbit), 431 nucleotides. The record is from RefSeq and is a predicted model, not a curated record. Lineage: Eukaryota; Metazoa; Chordata; Mammalia; Lagomorpha; Leporidae.
GGGUUUUGUGUUGUUGUUAUUGUUGUUUACUGUUUUCUGUAUUGAAGCCAACGUUUUUGAUUUCUCUGCUUGUUCUCUACAGGGCUUCAAGUUCUCCUUCCAGACUAUCUCCAGGAGUGCUUUGUACAAGCAGCUCUGAGCUACAUCGCUUGCAAUUCGGAAGGAGAGUUUAUCUGCAAGGACAAUGACUGCUGGUGUCAGUGUGGCCCCAGGUUCCCAGAAUGCAACUGCCCCUCCAUGGACAUCCAAGCUGUGGAAGAGAAUCUUCUUCGAGUAACUGAAACCUGGGAAGUCUACAACAGCAACUUUGAGGAGUCAGAUUCGUCAUCAGGAAAUAUCAUGCUAAUGAAUAACUCCAGAGAUGUCUGUGUGGAUUAGGCCAGACAAUGCAGAUAAAGUCCUUGGCACGGAGUGCAGAGUGGCGCACAAAG